This 1098-nucleotide ribosomal RNA is filed under the name uncultured ammonia-oxidizing bacterium. RNAcentral's name for it is "bacterial SSU rRNA". It matches the Rfam family "Bacterial small subunit ribosomal RNA", at positions 131 to 1225 of the family's 1533-position model. The record is from RNAcentral.
CUUAAGUGGGGAAUAACGCAUCGAAAGGUGUGCUAAUACCGCAUAAUCUCUGAGGAGAAAAGCAGGGGAUCGCAAGACCUUGCGCUUUUGGAGCGGCCGAUGCCUGAUUAGCUUGUUGGUGAGGUAAAAGCUCACCAAGGCUUCGAUCAGUAGCUGGUCUGAGAGGACGACCAGCCACACUGGGACUGAGACACGGCCCAGACUCCUACGGGAGGCAGCAGUGGGGAAUUUUGGACAAUGGGGGCAACCCUGAUCCAGCCAUGCCGCGUGAGUGAAGAAGGCCUUCGGGUUGUAAAGCUCUUUCAGCCGGAACGAAACGGUUACGGUUAAUACCCGUGACUACUGACGGUACCGGAAGAAGAAGCACCGGCUAACUACGUGCCAGCAGCCGCGGUAAUACGUAGGGUGCGAGCGUUAAUCGGAAUUACUGGGCGUAAAGCGUGCGCAGGUGGUUUUGCAAGUCAGAUGUGAAAUCCCCGGGCUUAACCUGGGAACUGCGUUUGAAACUGCAAGGCUAGAGUGUGGCAGAGGGGGGUGGAAUUCCGCGUGUAGCAGUGAAAUGCGUAGAGAUGUGGAGGAACACCGAUGGCGAAGGCAGCCCCCUGGGUCAACACUGACGCUCAGGCACGAAAGCAUGGGGAGCAAACAGGAUUAGAUACCCUGGUAGUCCAUGCCCUAAACGAUGUCAACUAGUUGUCGGGUCUUAACGGGCUUGGUAACGUAGCUAACGCGUGAAGUUGACCGCCUGGGGAGUACGAUCGCAAGAUUAAAACUCAAAGGAAUUGACGGGGACCCGCACAAGCGGUGGAUUAUGUGGAUUAAUUCGAUGCAACGCGAAAAACCUUACCUACCCUUGACAUGUAUUGAAACCCGCAGAGAUGUGGGUGUGCCCGAAAGGGAACGAUAACACAGGUGCUGCAUGGCUGUCGUCAGCUCGUGUCGUGAGAUGUAGGGUUAAGUCCCGCAACGAGCGCAACCCUUGUCAUUAAUUGCCAUCAUUUAGUUGGGCACUUUAAUGAGACUGCCGGUGACAAACCGGAGGAAGGUGGGGAUGACGUCAAGUCCUCAUGGCCCUUAUGGGUAGGGCUUCACACGUAA